GUUUUGAAUAUUACAAUCUUCAUUAACUUUAAAUAAUACUCCUAAAAUAUAUGACAAUCCCACUUAUUUAAAGAAGCACAACUUUUUAAAUCUAAAAUUUAAUCAUGCGUCAUAUUUAAAUUUUUUACUUACUGCGUCCUCUAACUAUGCGGAUACCAUAUCAAUAAUCUACUUUAUUAAAACAGAAGUACACUUAUAGAAUAACCCUAAAAUUACACAAUAUUUACAGCCAAAUACUAUUGAUAAUUAAAUUAAUCUCACAUUAAAAAUGAUUCUCUUUUCCACAUAUUUAUUGUUUUCCUAAAAUAACUCAAACGAACUACAAAGAA
Molecule: long non-coding RNA, 329 nt
Filed under: Brassica napus (rape)
Lineage: Eukaryota; Viridiplantae; Streptophyta; Magnoliopsida; Brassicales; Brassicaceae
Description: long non-coding RNA (BNAP_LNC018428)
Source: RNAcentral